Non-coding RNA from Schistosoma rodhaini, 46 nucleotides. Lineage: Eukaryota; Metazoa; Platyhelminthes; Trematoda; Strigeidida; Schistosomatidae. The record is from Rfam.
GCACUCUUGAGGAGUCCCGAAAUAGGACGAAACGGCCGUCUAGUGC